RNAcentral lists this ribosomal RNA (495 nucleotides) under Hesperophasma sp. SB0526. Its description in RNAcentral is "partial large subunit ribosomal RNA". The record is from RNAcentral. Lineage: Eukaryota; Metazoa; Arthropoda; Insecta; Phasmatodea; Pseudophasmatidae.
GAAUCCUGAAUUCGAAAGGGUGUGAUUCAAGUCCGCCCGGCUGCACAGGACGCCUGGCCCCGCCAGUUGGCGCCGGUCGCCUGCGGCGAUUCAUUUCGCUUGCGGUGUCGUUCCUGGCGAUCACUCGGUGAGGUGGCGAUGCUCUGGCACCGGAGGAGUGCACUUCCGCCCUAGUAGAAACGUCGCGACCCGUUGGGUGCCGGUCUAAGGCCCGGGAAGGCAGACCGUGUGUCCUGUGGGGGCUCUCACAGGCGUGCGGACUCCUGGUGACCCGGCCGGCUGCUCGACGGUAUGACCAGAGGAGUCGAUCCGCUGAAUGUGAAACACUGUGGAUGUGUAGCGUCCGGCCCGGCGCCGAUGCGUGCGGGGAUUGAGGUGCAAACCGGGGGGUUACCGUGCGAAGCACGGCCCCGGCCCCGCUGCGUUUUCGGUUGUCGGUGACCUCGGACUGGAUCGUUACUCCCGUCUGCGGCGCCAUUUUCGGAUGGUCUCCCG